Molecule: ribosomal RNA, 402 nt
Filed under: uncultured bacterium
Lineage: Bacteria
Description: bacterial SSU rRNA
Rfam family: Bacterial small subunit ribosomal RNA
Source: RNAcentral
UCGGGAAUUUUGGGCAAUGGGGGAAACCCUGACCCAGCAACGCCGCGUGGAGGAUGAAGUAUUUCGGUAUGUAAACUUCGUAAGAAUAGGAAGAAUCAAUGACGGUACUAUUUGUAAGCUCCGGCUAACUACGUGCCAGCAGCCGCGGUAAUACGUAGGGGGCAAGCGUUGUUCGGAUUUACUGGGCGUAAAGGGCGCGUAGGCGGCGUGACAAGUCACUUGUGAAAUCUCCGGGCUUAACCCGGAAAGGUCAAGUGAUACUGUUGUGCUAGAGUGCAGAAAGGGCAACUGGAAUUCUUGGUGUAGCGGUGAAAUGCGUAGAUAUCAAGAGGAACACCUGAGGCGAAGGCGAGUUGCUAGGCUGACACUGACGCUGAGGCGCGAAAGCUAGGGGAGCGAACG